RNAcentral lists this ribosomal RNA (525 nucleotides) under uncultured bacterium. RNAcentral describes it as "bacterial SSU rRNA". It matches the Rfam family "Bacterial small subunit ribosomal RNA", at positions 1 to 564 of the family's 1533-position model. The record is from RNAcentral.
CUCGAGGCCAGAUCUAGAGUUUGAUCCUGGCUGAGAACGAACGCUGGCGGCAUGCCUAACACAUGCAAGUCGAACGAAGGCUUCGGCCUUAGUGGCGCACGGGUGCGUAACGCGUGGGAAUCUGCCCUUGGGCUCGGAAUAACAGUGAGAAAUUACUGCUAAUACCGGAUGAUGACUUCGGUCCAAAGAUUUAUCGCCCAAGGAUGAGCCCGCGUAAGAUUAGCUAGUUGGUGAGGUAAAGGCUCACCAAGGCGACGAUCUUUAGCUGGUCUGAGAGGAUGAUCAGCCACACUGGGACUGAGACACGGCCCAGACUCCUACGGGAGGCAGCAGUGGGGAGUAUUGGACAAUGGGCGAAAGCCUGAUCCAGCAAUGCCGCGUGAGUGAUGAAGGCCUUAGGGUUGUAAAGCUCUUUUACCAGGGAUGAUAAUGACAGUACCUGGAGAAUAAGCUCCGGCUAACUCCGUGCCAGCAGCCGCGGUAAUACGGGGGGAGCUAGCGUUGUUCGGAAUUACUGGGCGUAAA